Molecule: long non-coding RNA, 450 nt
Organism: Ruditapes philippinarum (Manila clam)
Lineage: Eukaryota; Metazoa; Mollusca; Bivalvia; Venerida; Veneridae
Exons: 4
Source: RefSeq, a predicted model, not a curated record
AGUCAGCUUCCGCAAAUGGCUAUAUGUUGUGAUAGUUUGAUAGUUCAGUUCACUUGCGGCGCGCAGGUCACAUAGAACAGAGGACGUCACAAUGAAGUUAUCUGUGGUGUCAGUAAUUAGCCUGCUGUGUCUGCUAGGACUACAGUCUGUGUUAUGUAACUACUAUUCAGCAUACCCAUACUACGGUGCCGAAGGUGGUGAUUCUUCUCUCAACGGGGGAUUCCUAGCUCUGAUUGGACUUUUGUUUAUCAUUUUUGUGUUGUUUGGUGCCCAAAACUCUGGAACGAUAAGAUUUGUAAAUCAAACAGGUUGAUAUGAUACAAAUGACAGGGAGUUCUGUGUUAGGAGUCUGAUAUUUUAUUAUGGUUUUAUUCCCAUGAGACAAGACAAGAUUGUUAUGUAUGCAUAUUAUGUUUGUAACUUUAUUGUAUGAAAAUAAAUGUUCUUUGU